GUUAGCUUAGUGUAGGGUAUGCACGUCGGACUUUCAAGCCAAAAGCGCUAGUUAUUAGUGGCUAACU
Molecule: transfer RNA, 67 nt
Filed under: Unio crassus
Lineage: Eukaryota; Metazoa; Mollusca; Bivalvia; Unionida; Unionidae
Description: tRNA-Glu
Source: RNAcentral